Molecule: long non-coding RNA, 3138 nt
Organism: Equus caballus (horse)
Lineage: Eukaryota; Metazoa; Chordata; Mammalia; Perissodactyla; Equidae
Source: RefSeq, a predicted model, not a curated record
UCUGCCCCUUCCCUCCCCCUCCCCCUCCCCCGUUCCAAGGGUAGGAGUAAGCCGCGUUUGUGUGUCUGUCUGCGGAGUCUGUAACUUCUGGCCGACUCCUCUGUUUCUCCCUCCUGUUGCAGGGGAAAGAAUAAUGGACACCACUGAUUGCAUGUCUACUCUGUGUCAGGUGCUGGUUUCUUGCCUGCCAUUUCCCUCAUCCUCACUCUCUGAGGUUGGCACUAUCAUCUCCCUUUACCUGUGAAGAAAUGGAGACAGAGGAAAGUUCACUCCCCAGCCCAAGAGCAAGCAGGCACGGCAGAGGAACAGGCUGACCACUGGUGGGAAACACACCUACAAGAAAUUCAUCAUCACUGACAGAAGAACAAUGAAAGACCCUGGAGUCCGUCAUGCCUGAAGGCUGACAUUUCUAAACACCCUCCUUACUGCCCAUUUCCCCUAUAUAACUGCCUGAAGAUUCUGUAAUCCUUGAAGAUGGGUUUUUUGAGACAUUAGUCACCCGUCUUCUGAUUUGCCAGCUAAUCUAAUGAAAACUUCCUUUCUCAUCCCUGACUUGUUGUGAUUAACUGGCUCAGAUCACUGUCAGCAGAGUGAGCCCAUUGCUCAGUAUUAAGAUGUAAGCAAGUCAUGGAGGAGAAGUUUGUAUUUGGGGUCCCUGAACAUCAGCCAUUUUGUUAUUUGAUCCUUUUUUCUACCUCUUUCCCAGCAGGAAUCUUCUCUGCCCUCCCCCAGGAAGCCAUAAUCUAGUGAUAAUUCCUUAGCUUUUGACAGUGCAUUACAGUUGAGCAAUCCUUUGCCCUUACGUUGUCUCAUUUGUCUUCCUCGCUUCCUCCCUUUCUCCAUACACCACCUCUCCUCCACAUUCCAGCCUCCCCCAGGCCUUAGCCUCAUUGUCUCUCUCCUAGACUCCAGCAAUGGCUUUUCACCUGGUCCCCGGCAUCCCUGCUGCCUCUUCCCCACAUUCCAAAUCCCUUCUCCAUACUCCAGUCGUAAAGAUCUCUUUUAAAAAUUAUUCAGAUCAUAUCACUCCUUAGCUUCAAACCCUUUAAUACCCUCCUUUGCACUUAAAAACAGUUUCCUUACACACCUCUCUCCUUCCUCGUUUCUACCUCUUGCCCCUUGUGCACUGUGCUCCAGCUCAACGACCUUCCUUCUCUUCCUCAAACAAGCUUAGCUCAUUCCCACUGUGGUACCUUUGCACUUGCUGUUCCCUCUGCCUGGAAUGCUCUUUAAAUGGCUGGCUGUUUGUCAUGCUUUACAUCUUUGACUGAAUGUCACCUUUUCCAGAAUCCUUCCUGACCCAUCCCCCACCAACUCUUCUAAAAUAGCCUCCCUCCUCCUAGUCACCCUGCUUACUGCAGUUACAAUUCCUGUCUCAGUCUGAAAUUGAUUUGUUCACAUUUUUAUUAUUUGUUUUCCUCUAUUAGAAUAUAAGCUCCAUGAGGGCAGGGUCAUACGUGUUUUAUUUAUCAUUUUAUUACCUGCAUCCAGAAUAGUACUUUUUACAUAUUAGGCACUCAACUAAUAUUUGUUCAAUGGAUGAAUGCAUGAGUGAAUAAAUUUGAUUUUAUAACACUCCUGUGAGACAGGCAGAGAAAAUAUUCUCAAUCUUAUUUUACAGAUAUUUUCAGUUAUAUUUUACAGAGUAUCUGUACUUGCCAGUCAUGUAAGUGGUGGAGCCAGGGCAGAUCAGAAGUCUUCUAAGUCCCCUCUGCUGCAUUCUUUUUGACAGCUCAUAAGUGGUUCAUCUUAGCCAUCUUAGAAGAUGGAAGAGGACGCGGGCACUUGGAGAGAAGAUCAACCGUCACGCUAUACUCACAUUCACAAAAUUGUAGCCAGAGAUGGAAGAGCGGGAGGGUUCCCCGCCAGUGUGUUCCAUCCUCACCAUGUCUGUACUGGGCGCAUGCAUAGCAUGGCUGGAGGAGGCAGGAGAGCAUGGUGGUUCACGGCAGGGCUUUGGAGGAAGACAAACCUGGAUUUCACUCCUAAUUCUACUACUUACCAGCUGUGUCUUUAGAUAAGUUCGUUAUCUUUUCUGAGACUCAUUCUCCUUUCUUAUAAUGUGGGAAUAACAUCACUAACAUUUUAACGUUCUUUGGGGGAUUAAAUAAGAGAAUGUCUGAUGUUUCGUGUAUAGUAAGUGCUGAAUAAAGAAUAUGGUAUCAGAAUGUUAUGAAGAUAGGAUUCAACAGGCUUAUAAGAAGUUUAGCUUUCCAAUGCCUCUUUCCUCUCCCUACAGAAAUGGAAGGGAAGUUAAUUCCUGGUAUUUAGAACUGACAAACUCUCAGUGAUCAUCCAGUCAAGCUACUUAUUUUGUACUUUGAGGAAACUCAAGACCAGAGAAGGUGGUGACUUGUCUGGGUUUCCUUGGCCAGUAGUGGGGGAAUUGGCAAUGGAAAUGGAACCUAAAUGGACUGACUCCUGUUUGUGACUCUUUCUAUUCACUGUUGACAUCAUAAGGCGUGGAAAUCUCAGAUUUCCACCUGUUUUUUUCCUUGGCCAAAGUACACAACAGAAGCCAGGAGGGUCCCCUCAGGGCAGAUGGGAUUGCAUAGAGAGGGGCAGGGCCUGACAAGUCCUGCAGCCCUCUCCAGGGCCCGCUUGUUGGCUGUGUGACUUGGGCCAGUUAUUUCUUCUCAUUGAGUCUCAGUUCCACUAUCUACAAAACAGGGAUGAUAAUAGUAGCUAUAUCUUAGGGUUGUCAUAAGAAUUAAAUAAAAUAACCCACAUAAAAUUGCCUGCAACAUAGGAAAGACUCAAUAAUAGAUCUAUUUCUAAACUUGUAUUAAAAGUGAUAUUAAAAUGGCUUUUGUAGGGGCAAAUAUAGUUUUGUUCAUAUAAUCUAUAUACAACAUAUAAUAAUAUUUGACUAACCUUGGAAAAAUAUAAACUACAUAGUUCUAAAGAAAUAUAUUGAUUACCAUUGAACACUGGUUUCUGGUAGAGAAUAAAACAUCCCAAACUGACUGGUAAAUGAAAUCCCCUGCCCUACAUUUCGUGUUGUAAAAACAAAUAAUGAGGCUGUAUUAAAUGUUAGUACUAAAAAAUGAGUUAAAAUACAAAAUACAUUAGAAUAAAUUUCUGCAAAGUCUAUACAGACAGAGGGAAUAUAUCAAUAAAAAUGAGCGCAAAGCAACC